Molecule: RNA transcript, 5835 nt
Organism: Triticum aestivum (bread wheat)
Lineage: Eukaryota; Viridiplantae; Streptophyta; Magnoliopsida; Poales; Poaceae
Gene name: ABC transporter C family member 2-like
Exons: 28
Source: RefSeq, a predicted model, not a curated record
AUCAAACACUUCGUCGCACUGUCGCGAACCAUGGUGCCCUCCCCGCGCCAGGUCACGGGAGCAGCCGGAAGCCCCCCAUCCCGAAGGGCCCGUCCGUGCGCGCGCCGCCAGGACUACCUUCCACCUCGGCGCCGACAAGAGCAGCUCCAUGGCGUUCUUGAGGAGGAGGAGCUCCAUGGCGUCGGAGCAGCGGCGUCCCGAGCAGCUCCAUGGCGACCUCUGUCAAGGCCUAGGUUGGAGAGGCCCCGAGCGAACCCUCGAUCUAGCCAUGGCCGUGGCGGAUCUGGGACCAGCUCGCUCCCUUGAUCUCCCUCCCUCUGCUACUGCUCCUGCCGCGACAGCACGCGGAACGCCGCGGCUGGACGGUGGGGGACCAUGCCGCCGCUGCCUCUGCUCGCAGAUGCACAUGAUGUGUUUGAUGUAAUGUGUGUUAGAGAGUGAGGGGAGGAGGAAGAAGUCCUGGUCAACAUGCCCAUGUGGCAGUUUUUUUUCUUCAACUCAGCCUGAUGGGCGGGCCGAACAGUUCGUGACGUCAGCAAAGCGCUUAGCAUUUACAGUUAGUGUUUUUUGCCACUGUUUUGGCCGGUGUAAAGUGGUGUUUUUCUGCUAAUCGCGCCGUUAUUAUGGUGGUUCUGUGCAUUUUACUCGGGCAUGUUUGUAGGAUAUUGCAGGUCAUUGGCUGAAUUCUCUGCUUUCGUUUCAUGAAUUCAGGGGAAGAUGAAGAUCAGAACUGAGCGAGGACUGGGGGGUUGCUAAGAGAAGCGUUGAGAUGGGGUUCAAACCACUGGAGUGGUACUGUCAGCCAGUGAAGGAUGGGGCAUGGUCUCAUGCCGUCGAAAGCGCGUUUGGCGCAUACACACCCUGCGGCAUUGACACCAUGGUGGUGUGCAUCUCGUACCUCACACUUUUUGGCGUUUGCUUCUAUCGGACAUGGAGGACGACGAAAGACUACAAGGUGCAGAGGUACAAGUUACGCUCGCCGUACUUCAACUAUCUGCUUGGGCUGCUUGUUGUGUACUGCAUAGCAGAGCCGCUGUACAGGAUUGCCACCGGUACCUCCAUCACAAACUUGGAUGGGCAGUCUGGCCUUGCUCCAUUUGAGAUUACUUCACUGGUCAUCGAGUCUGCUGCCUGGUGCUGUAUGCUUAUAAUGCUAUUGCUGGAGACAAAAAUUUACAUCACCGAAUUAAGAUGGUACAUCCGGUUUGUGGUCAUAUAUGUAUUGGUUGGGAAAGCUGCUAUGUUCAAUCUUGUGCUUCCAGUGAGGCAGUACUACAGUUCAAGUUCAAUAUUCUACCUAUACUGCAGCGAGAUAAUAUGCCAGUGCAUUUUUGGAAUUCUCAUGCUGGUGUAUCUGCCUAGCUUGGAUCCCUACCCGGGUUAUACUCCAAUCAGGAGUGAGGUGCUUGUUGAUAAUACUGAUUAUGAACCUCUGCCAGGUGGAGAGCAGAUUUGCCCCGAAAGGCAUGCGAAUAUAUUUUCCUGGAUAUUCUUUUCAUGGGUGACUCCUCUAAUGCAACAAGGAUACAGAAGGCCCAUCACUGAUAAUGAUAUUUGGAAACUAGAUAAUUGGGAUGAGACAGAAACAUUGUAUAGCCGAUUUCAGAAAUGCUGGAACGAUGAACUUCAAAAACCAAAACCUUGGCUGCUACGAGCUCUCCAUAGUAGCCUCGGUGGAAGGUUCUGGCUAGGAGGAUUUUUUAAGAUUGGCAAUGAUGCUUCUCAAUUUGUUGGCCCAACCGUAUUGAGCCUCUUGUUGGAGUCUAUGCAAAAAGGCAAUCCUUCUUGGAAUGGGUACAUCUAUGCUUUCUCAAUCUUUGCUGGAGUGUUACUGGGAGUUCUUGCUGAAGCACAGUACUUUCAGAAUGUCACGCGGGCUGGUUUCAGAUUGAGGUCUACUUUGAUUGCUGCUGUUUUCCGUAAGUCCUUGCGACUGACAAAUGAUAGUCGCAAGAAGUUUGCUUCUGGAAGGAUUACAAAUUUGAUUUCAACCGACGCGGAGUCCCUUCAGCAAGUAUGCCAGCAACUUCACAAUCUGUGGUCAGCUCCUUUUCGCAUUGUUAUUGCCAUGGUCCUGCUAUAUGCACAACUAGGUCCUGCAGCACUUGUCGGUGCCAUCAUGCUGGCUCUUUUGUUCCCAAUUCAGACAGUUAUCAUAAGCAAAAUGGAAAAACUUACCAAGGAAGGGUUGCAAAGGACUGACAGACGAAUCAGUCUCAUGAAUGAAAUAUUAGCUGCGAUGGAUACAGUCAAAUGUUACGCUUGGGAGCAAAGUUUCCAGUCAAAGGUGCAGGACAUCCGUGACGAUGAGCUUUCCUGGUUUCGCAGUGCUCAAUUGCUUGAUGCGCUAAAUAGCUUUAUCCUCAACAGUAUUCCUGUCGUUGUCACGGUGGUUUCGUUUGGUGUUUACUCUCUGAUGGGGGGUGAGUUGACAGCAGCAAAGGCGUUUACCUCUCUUUCACUAUUUGCAGUGUUAAGGUUCCCACUUUUUUUGCUGCCAAAUCUGAUAACUCAGGCUGUUAACAGUAAGAUUUCAUUGAAACGACUGGAAGAUCUCCUCUUGGCUGAUGAGAAGAAUACUUCUGCCAAAUCCACCUAUUGAUCCUGAGCUUCCAGCCAUUUCUAUCAAGAAUGGAAACUUUUCAUGGGAAUUGCAGGCUGAGCGACCAACACUAUCAAAUAUCAAUCUGGACGUGCCUGUCGGCAGUUUAGUUGCAAUAGUAGGAAGCACCGGGGAGGGGAAAACUUCUCUUAUUUCUGCAAUGCUUGGUGAAAUACCACCAGUAUCAGGGUCAGAUACCUCAGUGGUCAUUCAUGGAUCGGUGGCUUAUGUUCCUCAAGUUUCAUGGAUCUUCAAUGCUACCGUACGGGAUAACAUAUUGUUUGGGUCUCCAUUCCAACCUCCAAGCUAUGGGAGAGCAAUAGAUGCUACUUCAUUACGACAUGACCUUGACCUACUCCCAGGUGGUGAUCUCACAGAGAUUGGAGAAAGGGGAGUUAAUAUUAGUGGGGGGCAAAAACAACGAGUUCUAAUGGCAAGAGCUGUUUAUACUGAUUCAGAUGUUUACCUAUUUGAUGAUCCACUGAGUGCAUUAGAUGCCCAUGUUGGUCGACAGGUAUUUGAUAAAUGUAUCAAAGAAGAGCUACGACAUAAAACUCGGGUCCUUGUUACUAAUCAGCUGCAUUUUCUGCCAUACGUGGAUAAAAUUCUGCUGAUCCAUGAUGGAGUAAUUAAAGAGGAGGGUACAUUUGAUGAACUUAGUAACUCUGGGGAGCAGUUCAAAAAACUUAUGGAAAAUGCUGGAAAGAUGGAGGAACAAACAGAAGAGAAACAAGACGAAAGCAAAUCACAGGACGAGAUAAAACACACUGAAAAUGGGGGCGUUGUAAUAGCUGAUGGUGGUCCGCAAAAGAGCCAGGAUAGUUCAAGUAAAACAAAACAGGGAAAAUCUGGUCUUAUUAAGCAAGAGGAACAUGAAACUGGAGUUGUCAGUACAAAGGUCCUUUCACGCUACAAAAAUGCAAUGGGGGGUAUUUGGGCGGUGUCCGUUCUCUUCUUGUGCUAUACACUGACUGAAACUCUACGGAUUUCAAGUAGCACAUGGUUGAGCAUUUGGACUGAUGUGGGUUCUCUGAAAAUCCAUGGCCCUGGUUACUACAACUUAAUCUUUGGCAUUCUUUCUUUUGGGCAGGUUUUAGUCACUCUCACGAAUUCUUACUGGCUGAUCACGUCAAGUCUUCGAGCAGCCAAGAGGUUGCAUGACUACAUGCUCCGGUCUAUAUUAAGAGCUCCCAUGGUAUUUUUUCAUACCAAUCCACUUGGACGGAUCAUCAACAGAUUUUCGAAGGAUUUGGGUGACAUUGACAGGAAUCUUGCUGUCUUUGUCAACUUGUUUAUGGCACAAAUAUCUCAGUUGCUCUCAACAUUUGUUUUCAUUGGUGUUGUCGGCACUAUGUCUCUUUGGGCUAUCAUGCCACUUCUCAUUUUAUUUUAUGCAGCCUACCUUUAUUACCAGACUACAUCAUGUGAGGUAAAGCGCAUGGAUUCUAUUACUAGGUCUCCUGUGUAUGCCCAAUUUUCAGAGGCAUUAAAUGGUCUGUCGACAAUCCGUGCCUCAAAGCCUAUGAUAGAAUGUCAAACAUCAAUGGGAAAUCAAUGGACAACAACAUCAGGUUCACACUCGUGAACCUGAGUUCAAAUAGAUGGCUAGCCAUCCGGCUGGAAACACUGGGUGGCAUCAUGAUAUGGUUCACCGCAACAUUUGCUGUGAUGCAAAACCAAAGAGCAGAGAAUCAGAAGGCCUUUGCUUCCAUGAUGGGUCUUCUUCUUACUUAUACCCUCAAUAUCACCAAUCUGCUCACAGCUGUUCUUCGUCUUGCUAGUCUUGCUGAAAAUAGUAUGAAUGCGGUUCAACGGGUAGGAACAUACAUCGAGUUGCCUUCUGAGGCUCCUCCUGUCAUUGAGGAUAACAGGCCACCUCCUGGUUGGCCAUCAUCUGGUAUCAUCAAGUUUGAAGAUGUUGUGCUUCGGUACCGACCAGAACUUCCACCUGUUCUUCAUGGAAUAUCAUUCAUUGUUAAUGGAAGUGAGAAGGUAGGAAUAGUUGGCAGAACAGGUGCUGGUAAAUCUAGCAUGCUUAAUGCUCUGUUCCGCAUCGUGGAACUGGAGCGUGGGAGAAUAUUGAUUGAUGAUUGUGAUACAUCUAAGUUUGGAAUUUGGGAUCUGCGGAAAGUGUUAGGAAUAAUACCACAGGCACCAGUCCUGUUUUCAGGUACUAUUCGAUUUAAUCUGGAUCCUUUCAGCGAGCAUAAUGAUGCGGAUCUCUGGGAGGCUCUUGAAAGGGCUCAUCUAAAAGAUGUCAUAAGGAGGAAUGCUCUAGGACUAGAUGCUGAGGUUUCUGAGGCCGGUGAAAAUUUUAGCGUUGGACAGCGGCAGUUGCUGAGUUUAGCUUGUGCAUUGCUACGAAGGGCAAAGAUACUUGUUCUUGAUGAGGCAACAGCAGCAGUUGAUGUUCAAACUGAUGCUCUUAUACAGAAGACAAUCAGAGAAGAAUUCAAGAGUUGUACAAUGCUUAUAAUCGCUCACCGUUUGAAUACCAUCAUCGACUGUGACAGGUUGCUUAUUCUAAGUUCUGGGAAGAUUUCGGAAUUUGACACCCCCGAGAAUCUUGUGAGCAACGAGGGAAGUGCUUUCUCCAAGAUGGUUCAGAGUACAGGACCUAGCAAUGCAGAGUAUCUUAAGUCUCUUGUGCUUGGCAAUGGUGAAGAGCGGCUGCGAAAGGAAGAAAGUAAGUUGCAAGAUAUUCAGAGGGAAUGGGCUGCGUCUAACCGAUGGGCUGUCGCUGCCCAGUUUGCGCUUGCUGCUAGCCUCGCGUCAUCCCACAGUGACCUCCUCUCAUUGGAGGCUGCGGACGGAAACAACAUCCUCAGGAAAACAAGGGAUGCAGUAAUCACCCUGCACAGCGUCCUUGAAGGGAAGCACAAUACUGAAAUCGAGGAAUCACUCGCCGAGUAUGAGGUUCCGCUUCCGCCUGAUAGGUGGUGGUCGUCACUUUACAAAGUCAUCCAAGGCCUUGCCACGAUGAGCAAACUGGGUCGCAACCGUCUACGGCAACCUGGUUACAGUUUUGAAAACCACGGCUCAUCGUCUAUUGACUGGGAUCAAAUUUAGGUGUAGGAAACUGCAUUGCAGCACCACUGAAUCCCUGGAACCUGCGUUCGUGGAAUAGUUUGAAGGCGUGCAGUUAUUAACCAUCUUCUUACGAAACCUUUUAUCCCAAACAAGUUGGGGUAGGCUAGAUAUGAAACCCUUUCACGAGGACUUCCCAGGAGGUC